AGGUGCUGCAUGGUUGUCGUCAGCUCGUGCCGUGAGGUGUCGGCUUAAGUGCCAUAACGAGCGCAACCCUUGUUGUCAGUUACUAACAGGUUCUGCUGAGGACUCUGACAAGACUGCCAUCGUAAGAUGUGAGGAAGGUGGGGAUGACGUCAAAUCAGCACGGCCCUUACGUCCGGGGCUACACACGUGUUACAAUGGGGGGUACAGAGGGCCGCUACCACGCGAGUGGAUGCCAAUCCCAAAAACCUCUCUCAGUUCGGACUGGAGUCUGCAACCCGACUCCACGAAGCUGGAUUCGCUAGUAAUCGCGCAUCAGCCACGGCGCGGUGAAUACGUUCCCGGGCCUUGUACACACCGCCCGUCAAGCCAUGGGAGCCGGGGGUACCUGAAGUGCGUAACCGCGAGGAGCGCCCUAGGGUAAAACUGGUGACUGGGGCUAAGUCGUAACAAGGUAGCCGUACCGGAAGGUGCGGCUGGAACACCUCCUUUCUGGAG
RNAcentral lists this ribosomal RNA (495 nucleotides) under human gut metagenome. Its description in RNAcentral is "bacterial SSU rRNA". It matches the Rfam family "Bacterial small subunit ribosomal RNA", at positions 1036 to 1533 of the family's 1533-position model. The record is from RNAcentral.